UAACAAGGUUUCCGUAGGUGAACCUGCGGAAGGAUCAUUGUCGAAGCCUGCCCAGCAGAAACCCCGGCGCGGUCUGCGCCAAGGAACUUCAACUAAAGAGUGCCUCCGGUCGCCUCGGAAACGGCGUGCGUGCCGGAGGCGAAUCUUGUGCAAAACCAUAACGACUCUCGGCAACGGAUAUCUCGGCUCUCGCAUCGAUGAAGAACGUAGCGAAAUGCGAUACUUGGUGUGAAUUGCAGAAUCCCGCGAAUCAUCGAGUCUUUGAACGCAAGUUGCGCCCGAAGCCAUCUGGUCGAGGGCACGUCUGCCUGGGUGUCACGCAUCGUUGCCCCCAACCCCAUCGCCUCUCCAAGAGACGAGGGCGGUCUGCGGGGCGGACAUUGGCCUCCCGUGAGCUUUCGCUCGCGGCUGGCCUAAAAGCGAGUCCUCGGCGACGAGCGCCACGACAAUCGGUGGUUGACAAACCCUCGUGUCCCGUCGUGCGCGGCUCGUCGCUCGUCUUGUGCUCUGUGACCCUGUAGCGUCGCGCUCGCGACUCUUCCAACGCGACCCCAGGUCAGGCGGGACUACCCGCUGAA
RNAcentral lists this ribosomal RNA (578 nucleotides) under embryophyte environmental sample. Its description in RNAcentral is "eukaryotic LSU rRNA". The stretch from base 163 to 318 matches the Rfam family "5.8S ribosomal RNA". The record is from RNAcentral. Lineage: Eukaryota; Viridiplantae; Streptophyta.